This 426-nucleotide ribosomal RNA is filed under the name uncultured bacterium. RNAcentral describes it as "bacterial SSU rRNA". It matches the Rfam family "Bacterial small subunit ribosomal RNA", at positions 356 to 773 of the family's 1533-position model. The record is from RNAcentral.
GGGGAAUUGUUCGCAAUGGGCGCAAGCCUGACGACGCAACGCCGCGUGGAGGACGAAGAUCUUCGGGUCGUAAACUCCUGUCGAGUGGGAAGAAUGGAUCGGGGCCGAACACGCUCCGGUAUUGACGGUACCACUAAAGGAAGCCCCGGCUAACUCCGUGCCAGCAGCCGCGGUAAUACCGAGGGUGCGAGCGUUGUCCGGAAUCACUGGGCGUAAAGGGCUCGUAGGCGGCCAACUAAGUCAGACGUGAAAUCCCCAGGCUCAACCUGGGAACUGCGUCUGAUACUGGAUGGCUUGAAUCCGGGAGGGGGAUGCAGAAUUCCAGGUGUAGCGGUGAAAUGCGUAGAUAUCUGGAGGAAUACCGGUGGCGAAGGCGGCAUCCUGGACCGGCAUUGACGCUGAGGAGCGAAAGCCAGGGGAGCAAAC